GCUAACUAUCAAGCCUAUAAUUACCAAAUAAUCUUCUUCAACUGCCGUAAGAUAAAACAUUUUAUUGUUUAAGUAAGUGCGAUUGAAAAACCUCUAAGAGCUUCAACUUCAGUACCGCAAGGGAAAGAUGAAAUAUAAAUGAAAUAAAAUAAAGCACAAUACAGUAGAGAUUAAGCCUCGUACCUUUUGCAUCAUGAUCUAGCAAGUCAUUAUCAAGCAUAAAGACACUCAAGUUUGAUUCCCCGAAACUAGGCGAGCUACUUCAAAAUAGCAUUUAGAGCCAACCCGUCUCUGUAGCAAAAGAGUGGGAAAAUUUUCAAGUAGAAGUGAUAAGCCUAUCGAGCCUAGAAAUAGCUGGUUAUUCAGGAAAAGAAUCUUAGUUCUACCUUAAGUUUAAACAUGAAUAUGAGCACAGUUUACUUAAGAGUUAUUCAAAUAAGGCACAGCUUAUUUGAAAAAGGCUACAACCUAAACCUUAGGGUAAGAUUGACCUAAACUUAAUAAAGUAGGCCUAAAAGCAGCCAUCUUUUAAAAAGCGUUAAAGCUUUGUUUUUGAUUUUAUAAAUUCCACUUAUUUUUACCAACCCACCAUCAGUACUGAAUAAAUUCAUAAAUUAUGAAAGUUACCAUGCUAGAACUAGUAACAAGAAAAUGAUUUUCUCCAAAGUGCAAGUAUAAGCCAAAAAGGACAGCCCAUUGGUGAUUAACGGACCUGAACUAACUAUAAUAAAACACCUAGAAAACCCUAUACUUAAUACCGUUAACCUUACACAAGCGCCCUCCUGGAAAGAUUAAAAGGAAAAGAAGGAACUCGGCAAACUCUAACCCCGCCUGUUUACCAAAAACAUCGCCUCUUGCUUAAAUAUAAGAGGUCCAGCCUGCCCAGUGUUUCAAUCAACGGCCGCGUGAUUUAAGCGCGCGAAGGUAGCAUAAUAAUUUGUUCUCUAAAUAAGGACUUGUAUCAAUGGCAUCACGAGGGUUAUACUGUCUCCUUUCCCCAAUCAGUGAAACUAAUCUCCCUGUGAAAAAGCAGGGAUAUAGCUAUAAGACGAGAAGACCCCAUGGAGCUUAAAACACGGCAACAACCCUAAUAUUAUUACCAGAAUAAUUUUAAGCUAUGUAUGCUAGUUUUGGGUUGGGGUGACCACGGAGCAAAAUGAAGCCUCCACAACGAGAAGGGGAUACCUCCUUAUUUAAGAAACACUGUUCUAAAAAUUAUUAAAAUAACGUCUAAUGAUCCGACUAUCGACCAACGGACCAAGUUACCCUGGGGAUAACAGCGCAAUCUACUCUGAGAGCCCCUAUCGACGAGCAGGCUUACGACCUCGAUGUUGGAUCAGGGUAUCCCAGUGGUGCAGCCGC
This 1362-nucleotide ribosomal RNA is filed under the name Occidozyga laevis. RNAcentral describes it as "partial 16S large subunit ribosomal RNA". It matches the Rfam family "Bacterial large subunit ribosomal RNA", at positions 188 to 2562 of the family's 2925-position model. Lineage: Eukaryota; Metazoa; Chordata; Amphibia; Anura; Dicroglossidae. The record is from RNAcentral.